This is a non-coding RNA of Myodes glareolus (Bank vole), 1386 nucleotides long. NCBI's taxonomy places the organism in Eukaryota, Metazoa, Chordata, Mammalia, Rodentia, Cricetidae. The record is from RefSeq and is a predicted model, not a curated record.
CGGGGUGUUUACGUGGCCUUCUCAGGGAUGGAGCCUUUGACUUCCUGAAAAACCAUCCCCCGUUGACGUCCUGAUCUCUGUCUGUCAGACCUAAAGACUGAAGGGACACCGGCUAACAAGAUGGCCACUGCUGCAGAAGAAGGGUCUAGUCAAUCCUUUCUGCUCCUCCUAAUGGUUCUUUCUCAUCAGACUGCCACGAGCCCAGAGACAAUGAAGAUGAUUGUCAUAGAAAAUAGCCCAUGGGGACGAGUCCUGGGCCUGGGAGGUUGCAGCAGGACCACCGAGUUAAAGGCCAAUCUGGGAGAGAAGGACACAAUGGAACUGUCACUCUGGAAGUUCUGAGAUGAGGCCUCACACAUGUUCACAAUUUCCACGGACACUUUCUGAGGAUGUCACCUUUAGCCCAAAGGCUAGAGUGACAGAGGGACCUAACUACCCAUCCCUGUCAUCAGCCAACCAGAAGCUGAAUGUGGCUUCAUGAAUGAGCCAGGAACCUGUCUCAGCUUGUGACAGUGCCCAGACGCUCAGAUCACACAUCCAUCCUCUUGGCAAGCAGCUGUUGGAGCCACCAAACUCAGCCGCAGGGACUAACAUUCUACAUUCCACUUUUGCCAUGGAAACGUCUGUGAGGUCUCCAGAUAGGCCCCUCCUCAUUCCAGAAGGCGUCCUGUGUGUGGCUUCCCACUGAGCAGGUAGAGAUCAGGACCGCUGCAGAUCUGGCUGGAACCUGGAGCCUUCGCAUGCUCCUAAACCCCCUUUGCGUCUGUAAUACUAAUGCUGUCCUCUAAAUUGAUUUUCAGGGCUUAUGUAUUAUGACCCACAGUCUGACAAAGCACCUCCCAAGAUAGUCUCUCACAUGAUGUCUCAGGAAAUACGUGAAAAACAUUCAUGACAACCAUUUAUCGUAAUAGAAAGCAAUGUGGGGUCAGCAAGUGCCUGCUUUCUGGAGAAGGGGUAGCUAAAUAUUCACAGCUGAAGAGUACAGGGAAGUGAAGAGCUCAUGAGCUGCACAUAACUGUAACAUGGGUAGAUAUUGAAAUUAUGGGCACGUAUAAGCGAUUUGUAAAAGAACAAACAAUAUACUCCCUCAUAACACUCAAAAAUAAUAAAAGUGAAGUGUUUAGGAAAAUGUGCACGAGUCAUACAGCUACUUUUCAAACAUCAAAGAAAAUGUAAAAUUAAAUCCCAGGGCACUGGCUUAUCCUCUCGGGAGACAAGGCUAGAUGAGAAGAUAGUUUCAAUAAUGUUUUUAAAUAUUUAACAUUCAUACGUGUAUGCAUAUAAUGUGCUUAGAGCAAAUCCAGCCCCCAAGUGUCUUACCUUGUUCUUCUCUCUAACUUGAAUACUGACCUCACCAGUGUUUAUCAUUUAUUCCUCAGGAUCUGC